Long non-coding RNA from Catharus ustulatus (Swainson's thrush), 972 nucleotides. RefSeq lists it as uncharacterized. The transcript is spliced from 6 exons. The record is from RefSeq and is a predicted model, not a curated record. Lineage: Eukaryota; Metazoa; Chordata; Aves; Passeriformes; Turdidae.
AAAAGAGUUGAGGUUUCCAUAGUAACCUUCAGUAGUUCAAAAUAAAAUUGCAUAAAAUGAAAUCAUUAUCACUCAGCAACUAAAGAAGACAGUUCAGCUGAUGAAGAUACCAAGUUGUAAAUGACUACCGCUGAAUAUUUCCCUACACAUAGAAGAGUCUCACAGGAACUGAUGCAACUGUUUUCAGCUAAGUAUAGCCUAUGUUAUGCCAUGAAAAACAAGGUCUACCACUCUGCUAUGAAGAGAACAUUGCAAUAGACCUUUAAAACACGUACUUGUGAGGUCUUGUCUUCGAGUAUCUUCUCAAAGUCUGUUGAAUUCCCGAGGGGCAUAUGGAAGAAAAAGCAAUGUGAAAAUCUGGGAGCUGCUGACUGACUGAGGUACUUCUGUUCUCUCUACAAGUCAUCAUGGAUCACUGUUACUUCCCUUGGAUGUUUGACAGAUACUCAUUGUUCCAGAAUCAUUGGCAUGAAGAGAUCCAGCCAGGACGAACUUGUCCGUCACACCUGACUACUGAGUUAUGUAUACAACAAACCCUAAAGGACAACUUCUGAAAGCUGGCAAGUUCUGCAUUAUAAGAGAGGCAGUGAGCAGCUAUUUUCUGCUCUGAUCCAGCCGGAAGUCUUGUAAACUCUUAAGCUGGUCUAAUGGUGUAAGAAGCUAAAUGAUAAAACUGAGUCACCAGAAUAAAAAGAGGGCUGGGAACUUGACUGUGUCAGGUUCAUGUGUAUGCUGAACUCCAGUUUAGAGCAAUGAAAGCAAUAUAAUUUUACUGCCACAGAAUUUCAGUAGCAUUUCUCAGAUUCAAAGCAUAUUAAUAGUGGUUCCCUGCUUAAUAUUAAUAGUGUUAACUGUUGCCAAAUUGAAAUACUCUUUGUGGGGUUGGUCUUGAUGAUAGAAAUGCAGAAUGUAGUACUUCGUAACCAUCUUAUGGCAUCUAUUUUGUUUAUUUAUCACACUCUCAUUUGAAAA